RNAcentral lists this ribosomal RNA (253 nucleotides) under uncultured bacterium. Its description in RNAcentral is "partial 16S ribosomal RNA". It matches the Rfam family "Bacterial small subunit ribosomal RNA", at positions 524 to 776 of the family's 1533-position model. The record is from RNAcentral.
UACGUAGGGUGCGAGCGUUAAUCGGAAUUACUGGGCGUAAAGCGUGCGCAGGCGGUUUGCUAAGACCGAUGUGAAAUCCCCGGGCUUAACCUGGGAACUGCAUUGGUGACUGGCAAGCUAGAGUGUGGCAGAGGGGGGUAGAAUUCCACGUGUAGCAGUGAAAUGCGUAGAGAUGUGGAGGAAUACCGAUGGCGAAGGCAGCCCCCUGGGAUAACACUGACGCUCAUGCACGAAAGCGUGGGGAGCAAACAGG